This 502-nucleotide ribosomal RNA is filed under the name uncultured bacterium. Its description in RNAcentral is "partial 16S ribosomal RNA". It matches the Rfam family "Bacterial small subunit ribosomal RNA", at positions 30 to 523 of the family's 1533-position model. The record is from RNAcentral.
AUUGAACGCUGGCGGCAGCUUAACACAUGCAAGUCGAGCGGGGUGAUGGUGCUUGCACUAUCACUUAGCGGCGGACGGGCGAGUAAUGCUUAGGAAUUUGCCUAUUAGUGGUGGACAACACCUCGUAAGGGAUGCUAAUACCGCAUACGUCCUACGGGAGAAAGCAGGGGAUCACUUGUGACCUUUCGCUAAUAGAUGAUCCUAAGUCGGAUUAGCUAGUUGGUGGGGUAAAGGCCUACCAAGGCGACGAUCUGUAGCGGGUCUGAGCGGAUGUAACGCCACAGUGGUGUGGAAACACGGCCGAGAUUCCUACGGGAGGCAGCAGUGGGGAAUGUUGGACAAUGGGGGAAACACUGAUACUGCCAAGCCGCGUGUGUGUAGAAGGCAUUAUGGUUGUAAAGAACGUUAAGCGAAGAGGAGGCUCUUUUGGUUAAUACCCAAGAUGAGUGGAAGUUACUCGCAAAAUAAGCACCGGCUAGCUCUGUGCCAGCCGCCGCAGUAA